CUCCGAUAGACUUUCUGUUGUCGGUGUCAUGUUGACUAAUAAUGUGCUGCUGCUGCUGCUGCUGCUGCUGCUUGUUGUCCUUUCCAGCUGCUUUCUCGGAUAAAAAUAUUUGAAAAUUGCCGAAAAUCAGAGACUCGGUAGUGACUUGGCCAAGAAACAUUUCCAAGCUGUCUUCACAAGACUUCCAAAAUGGCGACAAACUUCAACUCAGAUAAACGUGGAACCGCGUGCCACGUAUGAUUACUAAAGUGUUGUCCUAGACGGGCUCUGGUGGCGGAUCUCCAUUGUCGCCUGGAUGAAGAACAACUUGGAUUUGUUCCUUGGUGACGUCUAAUUGUUCUUU
Long non-coding RNA from Cotesia glomerata, 343 nucleotides. RefSeq lists it as uncharacterized. NCBI's taxonomy places the organism in Eukaryota, Metazoa, Arthropoda, Insecta, Hymenoptera, Braconidae. The transcript is spliced from 4 exons. The record is from RefSeq and is a predicted model, not a curated record.